AGAGUUUGAUCCCGGCUCAGAAUCAACGCUGGCGGCGCGCCUAACACAUGCAAGUCGAACGAGAAAGUGGAGCAAUCCAUGAGUAAAGUGGCGUACGGGUGAGUAACACGUGGAUUAUCUACCCUCUAGUGGGGAAUACCGCUGGGAAACCGGCGACAAUACCGCAUAAGCUCGAGAGAGGAAAGCAGCAAUGCGCUGGAGGAGGAGUCCGCGUCGAUUAGUUAGUUGGCGGGGUAAAGGCCCACCAAGACUGUGAUCGAUAGCCGGCCUGAGAGGGCACACCGCCACACUGGCACUGAAACACGGGCCAGACUCCUACGGGAGGCAGCAGUGGGGAAUCUUGCACAAUGGGGGAAACCCUGAUGCAGCGACGCCGCGUGAGCGAUGAAGCCCCUCGGGGUGUAAAGCUCUUUCGGCAGGGAAGAUUAUGACGGUACCUGCAAAAGCAGCUGCGGCUAACUACGUGCCAGCAGCCGCGGUAAUACGUAGGCAGCAAGCGUUGUUCGGAGUUACUGGGCGUAAAGGGUGCGUAGGCGGCCUUUUAAGUUUGGUGUGAAAUCUCCCGGCUCAACUGGGAGGGUGCGCCGAAUACUGAGAGGCUAGAGUGUGGGAGAGGAAAGUGGAAUUCCUGGUGUAGCGGUGAAAUGCGUAGAUAUCAGGAGGAACACCGGUGGUGUAAACGGCUUUCUGGACCAUAACUGACGCUGAGGCACGAAAGCGUGGGUAGCAAACAGGAUUAGAUACCCUGGUAGUCCACGCCCUAAACGAUGCAUAUUUGGUGUGGGCCAUUCAUUUGGUCCGUGCCGGAGCUAACGCGUUAAAUAUGCCGCCUGGGGAGUACAGUCGCAAGGCUGAAACUCAAAGGAAUUGACGGGGGCCCGCACAAGCGGUGGAGCAUGUGGUUUAAUUCGACGCAACGCGAAGAACCUUACCUGGGCUCGAAAUGCUAUGGACCAGCUGGUGAAAGCCGGCCUUCCCGCAAGGGACUGUAGUAUAGGUGCUGCAUGGCUGUCGUCAGCUCGUGUCGUGAGAUGUUGGGUUAAGUCCCGCAACGAGCGCAACCCUUGUCCUGUGUUGCCAUCAUUCAGUUGGGAACUCGCAGGAGACCGCCAGGGAUAACCUGGAGGAAGGUGGGGAUGACGUCAAGUCCUCAUGGCCUUUAUGUCCAGGGCUACACACGUGCUACAAUGGACGGUACAAAGGGCUGCCAACCCGCAAGGGGGAGCCAAUCCC
This 1233-nucleotide ribosomal RNA is filed under the name metagenome. RNAcentral describes it as "bacterial SSU rRNA". It matches the Rfam family "Bacterial small subunit ribosomal RNA", at positions 8 to 1275 of the family's 1533-position model. The record is from RNAcentral.